This 253-nucleotide ribosomal RNA is filed under the name uncultured bacterium. Its description in RNAcentral is "partial 16S ribosomal RNA". It matches the Rfam family "Bacterial small subunit ribosomal RNA", at positions 524 to 776 of the family's 1533-position model. The record is from RNAcentral.
UACGGAGGGUGCAAGCGUUAUCCGGAUUCACUGGGUUUAAAGGGUGCGUAGGUGGCUUUGUAAGUCAGUGGUGAAAUCUUAGGGCUUAACUCUAAAACUGCCAUUGAUACUGCUUAGCUUGAAUCAAGUCGAGGUGGAUGGAAUAUUACAUGUAGCGGUGAAAUGCUUAGAUAUGUAAUAGAACACCGAUUGCGAAGGCAGUUCACUAGGCUUGUAUUGACACUGAGGCACGAAAGCGUGGGGAUCAAACAGG